RNAcentral lists this long non-coding RNA (676 nucleotides) under Oryctolagus cuniculus (rabbit). RNAcentral's name for it is "lncRNA (ENSOCUG00000034247.1)". Lineage: Eukaryota; Metazoa; Chordata; Mammalia; Lagomorpha; Leporidae. The record is from RNAcentral.
GGUGAUUGUAGCCGUUUGACAUGCAAGAGCAGAGUGACUGCUUCAGGCAUGAGGACAUGGGGAACAGACCAAGAUAAAAGGAAGACUUGGAAACAAAGGCUGCAUUCUGAACCACUUCUUUCUAAGUUCUUUACACAGGAGGAGAAGUUGUUAAUGAAUAACCACUAUUGAGUAACUGCCUUGAGAGCACACAGAGAGAGCUAUUCUACCACUAGUUACAUUUUCAUCAAAGGUUAUGCAUUUGUUCCUAAAAUGUCAAAUAUUCCAUAUCGCCCCAAGUAUAAGCUACAGAGGAAUGCUUAGGUAACCAACUGGGACAAAACAAGAGGGAGGAAACAGAAAUACUUCAGAAAAGCUGACCACAGAGGAGACAACCGUAACAAGACCCUACUUGUUCAUGGGACAGGAAGAACCAUCACAAAGGACUCCCGUUCUCAUCUAGAAUUGGUUAUCUUCCAUAAUUCCAAGCAAACUGAAAACAGAGGAAAGGAGAUGAAUCACAUGCUUAAAGUCACAAAGCUGGUAAACCAAGCUGAGCCACUCUCAACAUCGCCAAACCAUGUCCGUGUGGCCAGAACUUUAAAAUGCUGCAUAAACAAGUCUUAAGUAAAAAAAUCACAGUGGGAGAGGGUUUUUUUUUUUGUGUGUUACAGUGGAUUAAGCCACAUCUCUGGAU